GACGAACGCUGGCGGCGUGCCUAAUACAUGCAAGUCGAGCGGAAUGAUGAAGAAGCUUGCUUCUUCUGAUUUUAGCGGCGGACGGGUGAGUAACACGUGGGCAACUACCUUGUAGAUUGGGAUAACUCCGGGAAACCGGGGCUAAUACCGAAUAAUCCAUUUUGCUUCAUGGCGAGAUGUUGAAAGACGGUUUCGGCUGUCACUACAAGAUGGGCCCGCGGCGCAUUAGCUAGUUGGUAGGGUAAUGGCCUACCAAGGCGACGAUGCGUAGCCGACCUGAGAGGGUGAUCGGCCACACUGGGACUGAGACACGGCCCAGACUCCUACGGGAGGCAGCAGUAGGGAAUCUUCCACAAUGGACGAAAGUCUGAUGGAGCAACGCCGCGUGAGUGAAGAAGGUUUUCGGAUCGUAAAACUCUGUUGUAAGGGAAGAACACGUACGAGAGUAACUGCUCGUACCUUGACGGUACCUUAUUAGAAAGCCACGGCUAACUACGUG
RNAcentral lists this ribosomal RNA (499 nucleotides) under uncultured bacterium. RNAcentral's name for it is "bacterial SSU rRNA". It matches the Rfam family "Bacterial small subunit ribosomal RNA", at positions 28 to 507 of the family's 1533-position model. The record is from RNAcentral.